GAAUAUUGGACAAUGGGCGAAAGCCUGAUCCAGCCAUGCCGCGUGUGUGAAGAAGGCCUUUUGGUUGUAAAGCACUUUAAGCGAGGAGGAGGCUACUUAGAUGAAUACUCUAGGAGAGUGGACGUUACUCGCAGAAUACGCACCGGCUAACUCUGUGCCAGCAGCCGCGGUGAUACAGAGUGUGCGAGCGUUAAUCGGAUUUACUGCGCGUAAAGCGUGCGUAGGCGGCUUCGUAAGUCGGAUGUGAAAUCCCUGCGCUUAACUUGGGAAUUGCAUUCGAUACUGGGAAGCUAGAGUGUGGGAGAGGAUGGUAGAAUUCCAGGUGUAGCGGUGAAAUGCGUAGAGAUCUGGAGGAAUACCGAUGGCGAAGGCAGCCAUCUGGCCUAAUACUGACGCUGGGGUACGAAAGCAUGGGGAGCAAAC
This 423-nucleotide ribosomal RNA is filed under the name uncultured bacterium. RNAcentral's name for it is "partial 16S ribosomal RNA". It matches the Rfam family "Bacterial small subunit ribosomal RNA", at positions 359 to 773 of the family's 1533-position model. The record is from RNAcentral.